RNAcentral lists this ribosomal RNA (253 nucleotides) under uncultured bacterium. Its description in RNAcentral is "partial 16S ribosomal RNA". It matches the Rfam family "Bacterial small subunit ribosomal RNA", at positions 524 to 776 of the family's 1533-position model. The record is from RNAcentral.
UACGUAGGGGGCAAGCGUUGUCCGGAAUCAUUGGGCGUAAAGCGCGUGUAGGCGGCCUUGUAAGUCCGUUCUGAAAGUCCGGGGCUCAGCCCCGGGAGGCGGAUGGAUACUGCAAGGCUCGAGUCCGGAAGAGGCGAGUGGAAUUCCCGGUGUAGCGGUGAAAUGCGCAGAUAUCGGGAGGAACACCAAUGGCGAAGGCAGCUCGCUGGGACGGUACUGACGCUGAGACGCGAAAGCGUGGGGAGCAAACAGG